This 75-nucleotide transfer RNA is filed under the name Evynnis tumifrons (yellowback seabream). RNAcentral describes it as "Dentex tumifrons (yellowback seabream) tRNA-Lys". It matches the Rfam family "tRNA". Rfam says of the family: Transfer RNA (tRNA) molecules are approximately 80 nucleotides in length. Their secondary structure includes four short double-helical elements and three loops (D, anti-codon, and T loops). Lineage: Eukaryota; Metazoa; Chordata; Actinopteri; Spariformes; Sparidae. The record is from RNAcentral. RNAcentral also lists the same sequence under 1 other name.
CACUAAGAAGCUAAACAGGAUACAAGCGUUAGCCUUUUAAGCUAAAAAAUGGUGCCUUCCAACCACCCUUAGUGA